This 486-nucleotide ribosomal RNA is filed under the name uncultured bacterium. RNAcentral's name for it is "partial 16S ribosomal RNA". It matches the Rfam family "Bacterial small subunit ribosomal RNA", at positions 29 to 507 of the family's 1533-position model. The record is from RNAcentral.
AUUGAACGCUGGCGGCAUGCUUUACACAUGCAAGUCGAGCGGCAGCGCGGGGGCAACCCUGGCGGCGAGCGGCGAACGGGUGAGUAAUGCAUCGGAACGUAUCCUCGAGUGGGGGAUAACCCAGCGAAAGUUGGGCUAAUACCGCAUGAGCUCUGAGGAGGAAAGCGGGGGACCGGCGAGGGCCUCGCGCUGGAGGAGCGGCCGAUGUCCGAUUAGCUAGUUGGUGGGGUAAAGGCUUACCAAGGCGACGAUCGGUAGCUGGUCUGAGAGGAUGAUCAGCCACACUGGGACUGAGACACGGCCCAGACUCCUACGGGAGGCAGAAGUGGGGAAUUUUGGACAAUGGGGGCAACCCUGAUCCAGCCAUGCCGCGUGAGUGAAGAAGGCCUUCGGGUUGUAAAGCUCUUUCGGACGGAAAGAAAUGGGCGGGACUAAUACUCCGGUCUGAUGACGGUACCGUAAGAAGAAGCACCGGCUAACUACGUG